UCCCUUAUGGUUCAGAUGGUAAAGCAUCUACCUGCAAUGCAGGAGACCUGGGUUCGAUCCCUGGGUGGGGAA
This 72-nucleotide transfer RNA is filed under the name Bos taurus (domestic cattle). It matches the Rfam family "tRNA". From Rfam's summary of the family: Transfer RNA (tRNA) molecules are approximately 80 nucleotides in length. The record is from Rfam by way of RNAcentral. Lineage: Eukaryota; Metazoa; Chordata; Mammalia; Artiodactyla; Bovidae. RNAcentral also lists the same sequence under 5 other names.